Molecule: long non-coding RNA, 1036 nt
Organism: Zophobas morio
Lineage: Eukaryota; Metazoa; Arthropoda; Insecta; Coleoptera; Tenebrionidae
Exons: 3
Source: RefSeq, a predicted model, not a curated record
CCGUUAUUUUCGGACCAGGCCUGGACAGUGUGUAUGGCUCUUUGGAGUAGACUGGUUAUUGAUUGGAGUUCCUUUCCUUUUAUGUAGAGGAUGAGAUCGUCAGCAAAGAGGCCACCUUUUACAGGGUGGUUUACAUCCUUGAGAAUAUCAUUGAUUGCUAUGAGAAAGAGAGUCACACUAAGGACGGAGCCCUGAGGGAUGCCGUUUUAUACCAUACAAGUCUCCGGUUUAUCAUUUUCUCCAUGAGUUUACACAUUGUGCAAAUUGGAAUAAUAAUAGCUUCUGACCAGAGCUCAGGAAAGGAAUGGCCAGUCCAGAUGUCGUUGUAAAGAUUUAGGAGGAUAACUUUUCCGGUGCAAGGAAGAUUUUGGAGAAAGAUGAAAGGUAUGUCAUCUGGACCUGCAGCAGAAUUGGGACAAGCUUGAAGUGCAUUCUCUAGUUCUUCCAGGGAAAAAAUAUUGUUGAGUGGGUGGACUGAAUCGAUUUGGGGGGGCGCAAAAGACGAUUCCACUUGGUUUUUGUGGGAUAAAAAGGCGGGGGUGCAGUUUGCAUUGCUUGAGGCCGUCUCGAAUUUUUGUGCAAGAAGAUUUGCUAUGCCUUGAUUGUCAUCAAUAACAGAACCGUGAGAAAUUAUCUGCGCAGGACCCGGUUGAUAAGUAUUACCCUUAAUACGUUUAAUUCUGUCCCAUACUACCUUGGUAGGAGUAUUGCUGUGAAGGGUGGAAACAAAGCUCAUCCAGGAGUUUUGUUUGGCUCUUUUGAUGAUAAGACGUGUUUGUGCACGGAGUUUUUUGAAUUCAAUAAAAGAGUCUUGUGAUUUUUUACGUUUCCAAACAUUGAAGGCUCUUUUGCUUUUUCGCAAUGCUUCUGCACAUUCUACGUUCCACCAAGGGACAGUUUUUCUUGGUAUUAAUUUGGUCUUUCCAAUAUGGUUAUGAGCGGCACUGACUAUAAGGUGAUUGAGUUGAGAUAGAACACUCUCUGGACUCAUGUUAGUAUUUAACGACCCUAAAUUUUGAUCGAUUUCAGCUUGAUA